Notolabrus celidotus (New Zealand spotty) is the source of this 1183-nucleotide long non-coding RNA. RefSeq lists it as uncharacterized. The transcript has 5 exons. Lineage: Eukaryota; Metazoa; Chordata; Actinopteri; Labriformes; Labridae. The record is from RefSeq and is a predicted model, not a curated record.
UAAUAUCACAGGUGCAGUCAGAGUGUGAAGGAGAAACAACGAGGACAUCACGUGGACAAACGACUGAACUGCUGCUGUAGGCUUAAACUGCUUCUUGUUCUCCUUGUUCUAGUGGUGGAUCGACCUGUGUGGCACACAGCCAAGAUGUUCAACUGGACUCUUGCCUGCUCGUCCUCAAACUCGUAUUUAUCUACGUCUGUCUUCGGUGUGACACAGCCCCUUCCCCUCUCUGUUUCUGCAGUAAAAACACAACUGAAAUCCAGCAUCUCCAUUCAAAAGUAUUCCUGCUGUUUUAGGGUAAUCCUGACUCUGCUGGUACGCCUGCAGACUUCAGUGCCCCUCAACAAAGACUCUCCAGGUCUCUGAACUCUACUUGAAGGAGUGUUCUUCCCAAAAGAACACAGAGGAGCAAAGGAAGAGGUGCUAGGAGGUAAGAGGGGGGAGGAAUUAUCGAGAAAGUCCUCACAAGAAGGAGGAGGAAGAGACUGUCAGGCUCAGGAGGAAGGGCUGAAAAAGACGAAGCUUACCUCGUCCUCUGACUCACUUCCAUUCCAGCCCAUCAAGGGACUUUUCCUCAUCUCACUAAUGAUACAUGAAUGUGAAAGUUACAGCCUUAUUAUGAGAGUUAGGCCCUCAGGGGCCCUCACGAUUAAGAAUUGUCUUAGUUACCCUAAAAAUAAACAAACCCAGGUCACACAAAGGUCAUCCAGCUUCAAAUACAGCUGUCCUGACUUGGGUCGUAAAUAACUUUGAUGGUUAGUGUCACUGAUACAGCAUGAUGCAGGCCUACACAUGCAUGUAAGAUGAAAUCAUCUCCGUGAUGCAAGAUACAACACAGUGUACAUGUCACAGCAGGUUGUGGUUAUUAUUCAAGCAGCCUACUGACGUAGGUCCUGGAUGUUAUAAAUUCAACAUGAGCACUAUACAUACAUGAGCAUCUCAUCACAAUUACAUUGAUUAGUGACAUCAGUCUGAUAGUUCUGCAUGUUCAAAUGGAAAUAGAAACCAAGUCUAAAGAUGCAAACAAAAUAACUGUCACAGCAUUUGGUUGUGAGUACAGUUUGGAAAAUAUGUACGUCCUUAAAGAUAUGCUCCCUUCUGAUUGGAAAUCAUCAUCACUGAGGAAGGUGUAGAUAAUCUUUAACAUAGUACAAUUAGAAAGGAUCUUAGUCCAAUACAUGUU